Molecule: ribosomal RNA, 250 nt
Filed under: uncultured prokaryote
Description: partial 16S ribosomal RNA
Rfam family: Bacterial small subunit ribosomal RNA
Source: RNAcentral
UACGUAGGGUGCAAACGUUGUCCGGAAUUAUUGGGCGUAAAGAGCUCGUAGGCGGUUUGUCGCGUCUGCUGUGAAAUCUGGGGGCUCAACCCCCAGCCUGCAGUGGGUACGGGCAGACUAGAGUGCGGUAGGGGAGAUUGGAAUUCCUGGUGUAGCGGUGGAAUGCGCAGAUAUCAGGAGGAACACCGAUGGCGAAGGCAGAUCUCUGGGCCGUAACUGACGCUGAGGAGCGAAAGCGUGGGGAGCGAAC